GACGAACGCUGGCGGCGUGCCUAAUACAUGCAAGUAGGACGCAGUUGCGAACGGGUGAGUAACGCGUAGGUAACUACCUAUUAGAGGGGGAUAACUAUUGGAAACGAUAGCUAAUACCGCAUACUAGUAGAUGGACCUGCGUUGUAUUAGCUAGUAGGUAGGGUAAUGGCCUACUUAGGCAACGAUACAUAGCCGACACUGUAGGGUGAGCGGCAAUCGUGGGACUUAGACACGGCCCAGAGGCCGUGGGGAGGGAGCAGGAAGGAUUCGUCCGCAAGGGGGGGAACCCUGACCGAGCAACGCCGCGUGAGGGAAGAAGGUUUUCGGAUCGUAAAGCUCUGUUUGUAAGAAAGCGGUACUUAACCAGAAAGGGACGGCUAACUACGUGCCAGCAGCCGCGGUAAUUC
This 407-nucleotide ribosomal RNA is filed under the name uncultured bacterium. RNAcentral's name for it is "partial 16S ribosomal RNA". It matches the Rfam family "Bacterial small subunit ribosomal RNA", at positions 28 to 526 of the family's 1533-position model. The record is from RNAcentral.